CUACGGGUCGCUGCAGUAGGGAAUUUUGCGCAAUGGGGGAAACCCUGACGCAGCGACGCCGCGUGAGUGAAGAAGGCCUUCGGGUUGUAAAGCUCUGUCAGAAGGGACGAAUAAUCGGGGUCUAAUAGGCCUUCGAGAUGACGGUACCUUCAGAGGAAGCACCGGCUAACUCUGUGCCAGCAGCCGCGGUAAUACAGAGGGUGCAAGCGUUAUUCGGAAUUACUGGGCGUAAAGCGCAUGUAGGUGGAAUAUCAAGUCAGAUGUGAAAUCCCGGAGCUCAACUUCGGAAUUGCAUUUGAAACUGGUAUUCUUGAGUUUGGAAGAGGAAGGCGGAAUUCCAGGUGUAGAGGUGAAAUUCGUAGAUAUCUGGAGGAACAUCGGAGGCGAAGGCGGCUUUCUGGUCCAAUACUGACACUGAGAUGCGAAAGCGUGGGUAGCAAACAGGAUUAGAUACCCCGGUAGUC
This 464-nucleotide ribosomal RNA is filed under the name uncultured bacterium. Its description in RNAcentral is "partial 16S ribosomal RNA". It matches the Rfam family "Bacterial small subunit ribosomal RNA", at positions 339 to 795 of the family's 1533-position model. The record is from RNAcentral.